AGCUCGUGUCGUGAGAUGUUCGGUUAAGUCCGCUAACGAGCGCAACCCUCGCUGUGUGUUAUAUGUGUCACACGGGACUGCCGGUCUUAAGCCGGAGGAAGGUGGGGAUGAUGUCAAGUCAGCAUGGCCUUUAUAUCCUGGGCUACACACACGCUACAAUGGCCAGCACAGUAGGUUGCUAAGCCGCGAGGUGGAGCCAAUCCAUAAAGCUGGUCUCAGUUCAGAUUGCAGGCUGCAACCCGCCUGCAUGAAGAUGGAGUUGCUAGUAACCGCAGGUCAGCUAUACUGCGGUGAAUACGUUCCCGGGGCUU
RNAcentral lists this ribosomal RNA (311 nucleotides) under uncultured Leptolinea sp. RNAcentral's name for it is "bacterial SSU rRNA". It matches the Rfam family "Bacterial small subunit ribosomal RNA", at positions 1057 to 1382 of the family's 1533-position model. The record is from RNAcentral. Lineage: Bacteria; Bacillati; Chloroflexota; Anaerolineae; Anaerolineales; Anaerolineaceae.